Molecule: ribosomal RNA, 484 nt
Filed under: uncultured bacterium
Lineage: Bacteria
Description: partial 16S ribosomal RNA
Rfam family: Bacterial small subunit ribosomal RNA
Source: RNAcentral
AUUGAACGCUGGCGGCAUGCUUUACACAUGCAAGUCGAACGGUAACAGGGAGCUUGCUCCGCUGACGAGUGGCGAACGGGUGAGUAAUAUAUCGGAACGUACCCAAGAGUGGGGGAUAACGUAGCGAAAGUUAAGCUAAUACCGCAUACGAUCUAAGGAUGAAAGCAGGGGACCUUCGGGCCUUGUGCUCCUGGAGCGGCCGAUAUCUGAUUAGCUAGUUGGUGAGGUAAAGGCUCACCAAGGCGACGAUCAGUAGCUGGUCUGAGAGGACGACCAGCCACACUGGAACUGAGACACGGUCCAGACUCCUACGGGAGGCAGCAGUGGGGAAUUUUGGACAAUGGGCGCAAGCCUGAUCCAGCAAUGCCGCGUGAGUGAAGAAGGCCUUCGGGUUGUAAAGCUCUUUUGUCAGGGAAGAAACUGGAUUGGCUAAUAUCCAGUCCUAAUGACGGUACCUGAAGAAUAAGCACCGGCUAACUACGUG